AUUGAACGCUGGCGGCAGGCUUAACACAUGCAAGUCGAGCGAGCGGCGGACGGGUGAGUAAUGUCUGGGACACUGCCUGAUGGAGGGGGAUAACUACUGGAAACGGUAGCUAAUACCGCAUACCAUCGGAUGUGCCCAGAUGGGAUUAGCUAGUCGGUGGGGUAAAGGCUCACGAAGGCGACGAUCCCUAGCUGGUCUGAGAGGAUGACCAGCCACACUGGAACUGAGACACGGUCCAGACUCAUACGGGAGGCAGCAUGGGUGAAGAUGGCACAAUGGGCGCAAGCCUGAUGCAGCCAUCCCGCGGGUAUGAAGAAGGCCUUCGGGUUGUAAAGUACUUUCAGCGGGGAGGCGUUACCCGCAGAAGAAGCACCGGCUAACUCCGUGCCAGCAGCCGCGGUAAUUC
This 406-nucleotide ribosomal RNA is filed under the name uncultured bacterium. Its description in RNAcentral is "partial 16S ribosomal RNA". It matches the Rfam family "Bacterial small subunit ribosomal RNA", at positions 30 to 526 of the family's 1533-position model. The record is from RNAcentral.